RNAcentral lists this small nuclear RNA (127 nucleotides) under Tetraselmis striata. Its description in RNAcentral is "partial Dictyostelium signal recognition particle". Lineage: Eukaryota; Viridiplantae; Chlorophyta; Chlorodendrophyceae; Chlorodendrales; Chlorodendraceae. The record is from RNAcentral.
CUGGCACGCCGCGCGCGACCCAGUCGGCUCGCAAGGGCGAGGGCUCCCCGCCCAAGGAGCGCGUCAAGCUGCCGGCUGUCAAGUCAGCACGCAAAGCAAGCAAGGCAGAGAGGGCGCAGGAGAGUCA